CCUACGGGGGGCUGCAGUGGGGAAUAUUGGACAAUGGGGGGAACCCUGAUCCAGCCAUGCCGCGUGUGUGAAGAAGGCCCUCGGGUUGUAAAGCACUUUCAGUGAGGAAGAACGCCUGGUGGUUAAUACCCAUCAGGAAAGACAUCACUCACAGAAGAAGCACCGGCUAACUCCGUGCCAGCAGCCGCGGUAAUACGGAGGGUGCGAGCGUUAAUCGGAAUUACUGGGCGUAAAGCGCGCGUAGGUGGCUUGAUAAGCCGGUUGUGAAAGCCCCGGGCUCAACCUGGGAACGGCAUCCGGAACUGUCAAGCUAGAGUGCAGGAGAGGAGGGUAGAAUUGCCGGUGUAGCGGUGAAAUGCGUAGAGAUCGGGAGGAAUACCAGUGGCGAAGGCGGCCUUCUGGACUGACACUGACACUGAGGUGCGAAAGCGUGGGUAGCAAACAGGAUUAGAUACCCGAGUAGUC
RNAcentral lists this ribosomal RNA (465 nucleotides) under Vreelandella stevensii. Its description in RNAcentral is "partial 16S ribosomal RNA". It matches the Rfam family "Bacterial small subunit ribosomal RNA", at positions 338 to 795 of the family's 1533-position model. Lineage: Bacteria; Pseudomonadati; Pseudomonadota; Gammaproteobacteria; Oceanospirillales; Halomonadaceae. The record is from RNAcentral.